UCUGGAUCUAAGAAAAAUGUUGUCUCUUUGUGCUAAUUGAUUACAAAAGUGCUACAUGUUAUUUCCGGCGUUUUACAGAUCUGCUGCUUUGAAUGACAUUAGAGGAAAGCGCGCUUUUUUGCUUACCCCGUUUCUCAAUUCCGUGGAUUCCAGUUGGUUUAUAAACUGUUUAGCAGUCCUUGCAACUCCCAGUAUUGCUUUGCUGUUCUUGCACUUUUAAGGAAGUUGUCUUUGACCUCCAAUCUCUGAAGUGGUUUGAGAAAGUAUUACUUCCUGUCUUGUGAUCGUCUAAAUGGCUCUUGGGACCAGUGAAUAAGGCCACAGUUGUUGGAAGAGGCCCUGCCACGAGGUCGCUGUCCCGAAUACCCUGCUGUUUUAGAAGGGAACUCAGCUGAAAACAACCCGUGCACUACCUACAAAUGGAAAAUGCAAACGAGAACUAAAAGGUAUCAAAAUGGCAAAAAAGUGGAAACCAUCUAAUAUUCUAACACUUUUUAGUGUGAGUUCCAGAAGAGCAAGACUGAAUGAGCAAAACUGCAGACUUGCAUAAAAACAAACCUGAGAUUGCCAUUUCUCAGAAUAUUCCCUAUUCUCCGAGGUAUGGUGAACUUGGAGUUGGUAUAUAUGUGUUUGGGGGUACAAAGGAAACUUGUACCCCCCUGCAAAAAACAAUUUUAACGGAGAGCAGUGAUGUUUAACAUUCGUUGUUUUCUUCUAUAUUUUCUUAGUUAUUUUUUGUAAUUCCAGAGUUUGCACUUAUAAGUCCCGGAACUGCAAUAGGUAGCCCAAAAAAGAGCUCAAGAUGGUUUGGGGGUAAAGUUGCCUUUAUAUGGGGCACACACACCAACUGAUAUGAGAGGGGUAGCAAUAUGUGAUUAGCUUAAUGUUUCUACAGGGAGAUAUGCAACAGUUGAAAACAUUGGUCAGACAAAGACUGACAUUACUGAGUAGAACUUCAAAAACCAAAAAAAAAAUUAAAAUAAAAAAAAAAAAAGAAGAACUUACUUCUGUAAGAGUUCACUCUACUAUAGCUGUAUGGAUUGCUUGUGUGUGUGUGUGUGUGUGUGUGUGUGUGUGUGUGUGUGUGUGUGUGUGUGUGUGUGUGUGUGUGAACCUGUACACAGUAUAUGCAAUGUGUAUAUCAGCACUUGUGCUUCUGGUUCGCUUUUUGGAAAAGACAGAGGAAGAAUACAAAGGAAGUGAUAUUUACACUAAAGUGUAGAGUAAACAAAGAUCCUAAAGAGCAUACACAACAAUGGUAUACAGUAAAUGGCAACAAAACGAGGGUGUUAAUGAACAUAGUUUCAUAGUUUAGUACUAGGCUAUCUGCCCUGGGGCAUUUGCAAGCCUAGCCCUAGAGAUGUGGCU
Protopterus annectens (West African lungfish) is the source of this 1368-nucleotide long non-coding RNA. RefSeq lists it as uncharacterized. NCBI's taxonomy places the organism in Eukaryota, Metazoa, Chordata, Ceratodontiformes, Protopteridae. The record is from RefSeq and is a predicted model, not a curated record. The transcript is spliced from 4 exons.